Molecule: ribosomal RNA, 497 nt
Filed under: uncultured bacterium
Lineage: Bacteria
Description: bacterial SSU rRNA
Rfam family: Bacterial small subunit ribosomal RNA
Source: RNAcentral
GACGAACGCUGGCGGCGUGCUUAACACAUGCAAGUGGAGCGACGAACCAGGCUUCGGCCUGGGGCAAAGCCGCGAACGGGUGAGUAACACGUGGGUAACCUGCCCCGAUGACCGGGACAACCCGAGGAAACUCGGGCUAAUACCGGAUGUGGUCCCUUCACAUCAGUGAAGGUGACUAAAGGUAGCUUCGGCCUCCGCAUCGGGAUGGGCCCGCGGCCCAUUAGCUUGUUGGUGGGGUAAUGGCCUACCAAGGCUUCGAUGGGUAGCUGGUCUGAGAGGACGAUCAGCCACACUGGGACUGAGACACGGCCCAGACUCCUACGGGAGGCAGCAGUGGGGAAUAUUGGACAAUGGGCGAAAGCCUGAUCCAGCGAUGCCGCGUGUGUGAAGAAGGCCUGCGGGUUGUAAAGCACUUUCAGUAGGGAAGAAAGCCGAGUGCCAAUACCACUCGGUCUUGACGUUACCUAAAGAAGAAGCACCGGCUAACUCCGUGCCAG